UCUUAUUUCUUUCGAAUUAAGAGGUGCAACUCUAUGACAUAGUCAUAAAGUUCAAACCAUUCAACUGAGACAAUUUAUAAAUCCUUCUCGACUACCUUAGAGCUUGUGGUAUAGGAACUAGGUUGUUAUAUUUGUUGGUUAUCAUCUUGUCUCUCAAAGAACCCAUUCUUUGAGUUCUAUCUCUCGUUCAUUUGCUCUAUGUUAGGAAAAUCCUAGUGUAGGAUUACAAUGAACUACCCAACAAACAACAUUUGUUAGUUGGUUUAUAGAAGUGAUAUCCAAAUGUUAAUUUAAGGAUAUCCACAAGAUAAUUCUCAAACAAAUAUUGUUUAUUAGCACACAACCCCAAAUCUUAACAUGAUUAACAUUUGUCUUUCUUUCCAACUACAUCUUAUGGAGUCAUGAAAAUUUUGGAAGAUCUUCUAAUUGACAAUCAUAUUGUCUUAGAAGCAUAUAUCUUAUAUAUGGGUAAUUGAUAACAUCCAACGAACUAAAUCUUAUUCAAGUUCGUUCUUGUCCUAAUGGAGAAAUCCAUUAUC
RNAcentral lists this long non-coding RNA (539 nucleotides) under Malus domestica (apple). RNAcentral describes it as "long non-coding RNA (MDOM_LNC020768)". Lineage: Eukaryota; Viridiplantae; Streptophyta; Magnoliopsida; Rosales; Rosaceae. The record is from RNAcentral.